This 437-nucleotide ribosomal RNA is filed under the name uncultured bacterium. Its description in RNAcentral is "partial 16S ribosomal RNA". It matches the Rfam family "Bacterial small subunit ribosomal RNA", at positions 29 to 507 of the family's 1533-position model. The record is from RNAcentral.
AGCGAACGCUGGUGGCAGGCUUAACACAUGCAAGUCGAGCGGGCAUCCUUGUGGUGUCAGCGGCAGACGGGUGAGUAACGCGUGGGAACGUGCCCUUCGGUUCGGAAUAACUCAGGGAAACUUGAGCUAAUACCGGAUACGUGCGAGAGCAGAAAGGUUUAUCUGCCGAAGGAUCGGCCCGCGUCUGAUUAGCUAGUUGGUGAGGUUAUGGCUCACCAAGGCGACGAUCAGUAGCUGGUCUGAGAGGAUGAUCAGCCACACUGGGACUGAGACACGGCCCAGACUCCUACGGGAGGCAGCAGUGGGGAAUAUUGGACAAUGGGGGCAACCCUGAUCCAGCCAUGCCGCGUGAGUGAUGACGGCCUUAGGGUUGUAAAGCUCUUUUCUCCGGGACGAUAAUGACGGUACCGGAGGAAUAAGCCCCGGCUAACUUCGUG